AAGGAAUGAACGUAUUUAUAAAGGAUACGGGAAAACCAGGAUAUACAAUUUUAACGUUUUUAUUUAUGCAGUGCCAGGAUUGCUGGGUUUCCACUGUUUCCUGAGGAAAAAGGAGCUAUCAACAAAGCCCUAAAUCCCAUGUCCCAAAACGAACAAAAAAACAAAGAAAGACAAGUGUGUAAGUUCUUGAUGGUGGAGAUGCAGGAGGCACUGGAGAGGACAGGUCGGUCCAAGGAGGUGCUGGAGUUGGGGGAGGUGCUGGACACGGGCAAGAAUAGAUGCAAUAUUAAAUAGUACACGUUGUAAGAACACACUCAUCAACCAUAAUUAUCCUUAAAUAGCUUUAGAAUGCUUAGGAUUUUAAAGCAUUGCAUCGUGGGUAGUUGAUGAUCUGUGUGUUGAUGUU
RNAcentral lists this long non-coding RNA (406 nucleotides) under Gouania willdenowi (blunt-snouted clingfish). Its description in RNAcentral is "lncRNA (ENSGWIG00000004207.1)". The record is from RNAcentral. Lineage: Eukaryota; Metazoa; Chordata; Actinopteri; Blenniiformes; Gobiesocidae.